ACGAGUUUCGUCCAGUGAGCAAGUCCCUUCGGCUUAGUACCUCAAGGCCGACUUGUGGUUAUCGUACCGUAUCAACUCAGAGAUGUGACAGUACGAGCAGAAUCCUCGGGUGAGGAGUUCACCUGCACUGAACACGGGCUCAGUACUUCCGCUAAGCAAAUGCUGAUACUUUCGAGAAUGUGAAAACGGAUUGAUUAUGGAAAGGCGGGCAAAGAAGAAAAGAAAAAAAAUAUCCCAUGUCGGUGCAGAAGGAACCAAUCAAGGCAGAACAAGUAUUAUA
Molecule: long non-coding RNA, 280 nt
Organism: Penaeus indicus
Lineage: Eukaryota; Metazoa; Arthropoda; Malacostraca; Decapoda; Penaeidae
Exons: 2
Source: RefSeq, a predicted model, not a curated record